Molecule: ribosomal RNA, 465 nt
Filed under: Vreelandella stevensii
Lineage: Bacteria; Pseudomonadati; Pseudomonadota; Gammaproteobacteria; Oceanospirillales; Halomonadaceae
Description: partial 16S ribosomal RNA
Rfam family: Bacterial small subunit ribosomal RNA
Source: RNAcentral
CCUACGGGGUGCAGCAGUGGGGAAUAUUGGACAAUGGGCGAAAGCCUGAUCCAGCCAUGCCGCGUGCGUGAAGAAGGCCUUCGGGUUGUAAAGCACUUUCAGUGGGGAAGAAAGCCUUGGGGCUAAUACCCUCGAGGAAGGACAUCACCCACAGAAGAAGCACCGGCUAACUCCGUGCCAGCAGCCGCGGUAAUACGGAGGGUGCGAGCGUUAAUCGGAAUUACUGGGCGUAAAGCGCGCGUAGGCGGUCUGAUAAGCCGGUUGUGAAAGCCCCGGGCUCAACCUGGGAACGGCAUCCGGAACUGUCAGGCUAGAGUGCAGGAGAGGAAGGUAGAAUUCCCGGUGUAGCGGUGAAAUGCGUAGAGAUCGGGAGGAAUACCAGUGGCGAAGGCGGCCUUCUGGACUGACACUGACGCUGAGGUGCGAAAGCGUGGGUAGCAAACAGGAUUAGAUACCCGAGUAGUC